GAAAAAGCGAUCUCUUCUAAGCAUGCAUUUCUCCAUUUUACUGUGAAUAAGGGAAACGAAGAAUUGCAAGGCGAUAGAGUGAUACAGAUCUGUCCUCUUUCCCUUCCUAGAUGUCCAAACAACCAAUGUUGCUGUACAAUGAGGAUGAAACACUGAUUGCUUCUGUUGAGUAAUGAAUUGGCAGUGGCUUCAAGCAACAUUCUAAGGCCUUUAUGUCUUCAGGAAAUUUCUCAGGAGGUUUUACAGCUUCACUCUUCAGGGAAUUUCAUGAUGAAAACAGGAAUUUUAUAGAAUUGAGGAUAACAACAAAAGAGAACAAUGACCCUAGGCUCCAAGAUGGAAGAAGUCAAUGGAAGAAGAAGG
This is a long non-coding RNA of Gallus gallus (chicken), 363 nucleotides long. NCBI's taxonomy places the organism in Eukaryota, Metazoa, Chordata, Aves, Galliformes, Phasianidae. The record is from Ensembl.